Molecule: ribosomal RNA, 253 nt
Filed under: uncultured bacterium
Lineage: Bacteria
Description: partial 16S ribosomal RNA
Rfam family: Bacterial small subunit ribosomal RNA
Source: RNAcentral
UACGGAGGGUGCAAGCGUUAUCCGGAAUGAUUGGGCGUAAAGCGUCCGCAGGUGGCUGUGUAAGUCUGCUGUUAAAGAGUCUAGCUCAACUAGAUAAGAGCAGUGGAAACUACACGGCUAGAGUACGUUCGGGGCAGAGGGAAUUCCUGGUGUAGCGGUGAAAUGCGUAGAGAUCGGGAAGAACACCGGUGGCGAAGGCGCUCUGCUAGGCCGUAACUGACACUGAGGGACGAAAGCUAGGGGAGCGAAUGGG